This is an RNA transcript of Benincasa hispida (wax gourd), 1964 nucleotides long. It is a transcript of the gene named 4-hydroxy-tetrahydrodipicolinate reductase 2, chloroplastic, with no coding region annotated. The record is from RefSeq and is a predicted model, not a curated record. Lineage: Eukaryota; Viridiplantae; Streptophyta; Magnoliopsida; Cucurbitales; Cucurbitaceae.
UUACCCUAAUAAAAAAAUUGGAUGCCAUUUUGUCAAAUUCCCCAGCCGCCUGGCCAAGUCCUUUCUCAGUUUCUCCCUUAGUCAGUUCAGUCUCUCGCCGUCGACGAUGGUCCCUUCUCUCAGUGUAUCUCCAAAUUCAUUCCGGCCGGCGUUCUCCCUUGCAGGCGUGGGUUCUCCGACGCUCAGGUUUUUCCGUGUGAGAUCGAUGUCGUCAAUGUCAGCAGCAUCGCCACUUCAACAACGUCAAACAUCUGCUUCUUCCUCUCAGAAUUUGGACCUCUCCAUUAUGGUAAAUGGAUGCUCGGGAAAGAUGGGAAAGGCUGUUAUCAAAGCUGCUGACUCUGCCGGCCUCAAUGUUGUACCAGUAUCAUUUGGCUCCUUGGAGGAAUCUGGACUAACUAUACAAGCAUCUGGAAAGGAUAUUUUGGUUCAUGGCCCUUCAGAUAGGGAAAAUGUACUUGCAUCAGUUUUUGAUGAAUAUCCAAAUUUGAUCGUGGUGGACUACACCGUGCCUUCUGCUGUGAAUGAUAAUGCAGAGCUUUACUGCAAAGUUGGAAUUCCCUUUGUGAUGGGUACAACAGGUGGAGAUAGAGAUCGGUUGUAUAAAACCGUUGAUGACUCAAAGGUUUAUGCUGUAAUCUCCCCGCAAAUGGGCAAGCAGGUCGUUGCCUUCCUUGCAGCUAUGGAAAUAAUGGCUGAGCAGUUUCCUGGGGCCUUCUCUGGUUACUCUCUAGAGGUGAUGGAGUCGCAUCAAACAAGCAAGGUGGAUGCAUCUGGGACUGCCAAGGCAGUCAUUUCUUGCUUCCAGAAAUUAGGUGUCUCUUUUGAUAUGGAUCAGAUAAAAUUGAUCCGGGAUCCCAAGCAACAGAUUGAAAUGGUGGGAGUUCCAGAGGAGCAUUUAUCUGGUCACGCAUUCCAUAUGUAUCAUUUGACAUCACCAGACAAGACAGUUUCUUUUGAGUUUCAGCAUAAUGUUUGUGGUAGGUCAAUUUAUGCUGAGGGCACAGUAGAUGCUGUUCUUUUCCUCGCAAAAAAAUUUUAGCAGGUUGGGGAUUACUAAUCCAAAGCUGAGGAACGAGGGUCUCCUCGCCAAAUGGAUUUGAAGAUAUAGGGUGGGAAAACAUGCUUUGUGGAGAAGGGUCGUUGCUGCCAAAUUCGGCUCCUCCAAUUGUGAUAACAAAGCUGGCUCCCGCUCCCUGUCACUGCUAAAGGCCCAUGGAAGGCCAUUUCUAUCCUCCAACCCCUGGUGGACCAACAUGUGGUGGUGACUCUCGGUCGUUCGGUCUCUUUUUGGUUCGACUCCUAGAUUCAGUCGAAGGCAGACAAACGGAUAUACAAUAUGAUCGAUGUAUUGCGGGAGGGUAACAUGAGAUGAGACAAGAAGUGGACCUCCUACGGUGCCAUUUACAAUAAAUAAUAUCUCAGGUUGGGGAUAUAUGGAAUUUUUGUUAACGGGGAAAAGGAUUUUAGAAUUCAACCAAUUAUUAGGGCAAUAACUUAAACUUGUUAACCUUGUUGGUCAUAAAAAAAAAAUCUUGUUAACCUUGUAUCUAUCUUAUGCUUCUACCAUCAUCUCAUGCGGGAGCUUACUCUGGGAAUUCCAGCCAUUGAAUCUUUUCAUAUUGUUGAAGCAAUCAUCAUAAUGAAUCCGAGCUCGACUUCAUGGAGUAUAUGGAGAAACUCGUGGUGGUUCAUAGUUUGAUCUCAAUGCUGUUUGUUGAAUUGAGAAUUGAAAUCUUCGAGGAGUUUGAGCUCUCCUAGGUCUAUGCAGAUACUGUUUGUUUCUUACCACUUUGAGCUAAGCAGGAAAGGUUAUUUGGUUGUAGUCCUGUCCAUGUAUAAGAUAGGACUUGGUCUCUGUUUUUAUUUUCGAAAAAUUUUGUUCCCAAAAAUUGUUUUCAAGAGAAACCUCUGCAGGUUGUUUCAGCUGUAAUGAAGUAUUUGGAAUCCUUUUAGCUUAUUUA